GAUGAACGCUGGCGGCGUGCCUAAUACAUGCAAGUAGAACGCUGAAGGAGGAGCUUGCUCUUCUGGAUGAGUUGCGAACGGGUGAGUAACGCGUAGGUAACCUGCCUGGUAACGGGGGAUAACUAUUGGAAACGAUAGCUAAUACCGCAUGACAACAGUUAUUGCAUGAUAACUGUUUAAAAGGGGCAACUGCUCCACUACCAGAUGGACCUGCGUUGUAUUAGCUAGUUGGUGAGGUAACGGCUCACCAAGGCGACGAUACAUAGCCGACCUGAGAGGGUGAUCGGCCACACUGGGACUGAGACACGGCCCAGACUCCUACGGGAGGCAGCAGUAGGGAAUCUUCGGCAAUGGACGGAAGUCUGACCGAGCAACGCCGCGUGAGUGAAGAAGGUUUUCGGAUCGUAAAGCUCUGUUGUAAGAGAAGAACGAGUGUGAGAGUGGAAAGUUCACACUGUGACGGUAUCUUACCAGAAAGGGACGGCUAACUACGUG
RNAcentral lists this ribosomal RNA (495 nucleotides) under uncultured bacterium. RNAcentral describes it as "partial 16S ribosomal RNA". It matches the Rfam family "Bacterial small subunit ribosomal RNA", at positions 28 to 507 of the family's 1533-position model. The record is from RNAcentral.